RNAcentral lists this long non-coding RNA (2928 nucleotides) under Sus scrofa (pig). RNAcentral's name for it is "lncRNA (ENSSSCG00000060739.1)". The record is from RNAcentral. Lineage: Eukaryota; Metazoa; Chordata; Mammalia; Artiodactyla; Suidae.
AUUUGUACCUUUUUCUCUCUUUUGUCUUUUUAGGGCCGCACCCGUGGCAUAUGGAGGUGCCCAGGCUAAAGGUCCAAUCGGAGCUGCAACUGCCGGCCUGCGCCACAGCCACAGCCACACAGAAUCUGAGCCGCGUCUGCGACCUGCACCCCAGCUCACGGCAACGCCGGAUCCCUGACCCUAGUAUUUGGACUUUAACUUCAAAAAAGGAACAGGAGUUCCCUGGCAGCCUAGUAGUUGAGGAUCGGGUGUGGUCGCUGUUGUGGCGCAGGUUCCAACCCUGGCGGCAGGUGCAGCCCAAGAAGAAACGGCACAUGACUUGAUUGGGAUCGACCUCACCUACCGAGCGUGAGAGGCCAGGCGCCAAGGCCCGCCCUUCCUCCCCGCGCCUGGCACCUGCCCUGCGUCGGGAGCUGCAGAGGCAGGAUGGGCCACACACGAGUCCGUUCACGGCCACGCUGUGGGGUUCCAUUCCCCGUGCAAGGGCCACCCGGGUCGUCUUUUGUGCACCUAGGGGAACCGGAGGCUCCCCUGUGAAUGCCUUUCUGGGGGUCCUGGACAGUGUCCGCCUGUGGGAACGUGUCAACCAAACAGGACUAAGCAAAAGCAGAGAGCACACGGCAGAGGUGACUGUGGUGACACAGAAUUACGUUUGUGGGGGGAGGGGCGGGUUCCGAGGCUGCCCCGGCGACGGCCUUCCCCAGGAUGGGCCACUUCCUCGCCAUCCACUGGGUUACAUGAAGUGAACGAGGGGCGGGGAGCGGGCUGCGCCUCUGCCGGCCCGCCCCCCGCCCUGCCGGACGCACAGGGGGCUCUGCUGCUCGACGGGAAACGGCUCCGGUGACCACUGGGUGGAAGCACAGGUAGGACAGGAGCGGGGAGCAGAAGGUGGGUGUGCUAGGUGAAGGACCGAAAGAAUGUGUAAGUACGUACACACACACACACACACCCCAGCCAGCCCGGAGGCCGGAAACCCAGGGGAGCCAAAGUUGCAGUUCAAAUGCAAAGGCAGGACAAAGGCCUGGGGAGCCUCUCUUAGCCCCAGGAGAGGAUGCCGGCCGUCAGCUGCUUAGGUGAGGCCCACCCCGUUGAGGAGGCCAGUGGGCUUUAUGCAGUCUAUGGCUUUAAAUGGUAACCGUCACAGGAGUUUAGAUGAGAACCCCUCCAUGGGUCAGAUGGUUCAGGAGCGAAAAGCAGGAGGACAAAAAGCCAGGAGAGCACCACUCAUUCAUUCAUUCACUCCUUCUUCUCUGGGGGGGGAUCGUCACCUCCUCUGGUUGUGCUUUUGGCCCUUGCCGUCAUUUUCAAACUGGCGCCUCAUCCCUUGCUUUCAGGGCCCCCUUGUUUGAAGGCCGUUGGGAGCCACACCCCCAGGUGGCAGAAGUCACGCUGGGCAGAGCAGGUCAGGGCUGGGAGGGGGAGGUGGCCUCGUGGUCUUGCGGCCCUGGUGGAGCCUGGGCAUCUUUGCCCCCGUGUGGGCCUGGCCUGUGGUAGGCACACUGCACACAGGCACUGUCGCCUGGCCGCCUCCCAUAAUGCCUGCUGUCACGGAAGACAUGCUAGGGGCUUCCUCGAAGCCGUGGUUUCCUUUCUGGAGGCGUGUGUGGCAGUGGGAGUAGGGCCCGUUUAUCCUCAGCGGCUCUGCUGCCCACUGUGCUGCCCACCUGCCAUGCGCGCACCACUCUCAUCAAAGUGCCAAGGCCGCCUGGGGAGGGACACCUUCUGCUCUCUGGUGCUGGCCCCAGCUCCUGGGAAGGGCAGGAAUUCCCGAUUGCCCCCUUUUAUCUGCUCUUUUUUGUCCAUGAGAACAGAACCCCAAUUUUCAGCUGACCACAGCUCCCAAAAAUGUCCAUUCCCCAGCCUCCUUUGCGGCUGUGUAUGGCCAUGUGACUAAGUUCUGCUUGAUGGAAUAUAAGCCAGAGUGGCUGCUUCCUGGACUUUUUAUCAUAAAGGAUAAUGAGCAUGUCCCCCGUGCCUCUUCACUUCCUCAAUCCUACCACCUGGAAGUUGAAUGUGAUGGCUGGAACUCUAGCCACCAUUUUGGGGCCAUGAGGGCAAAGGCUACACCCUGCAGAGAAUGGAGUGGGAAGCCGAAAGGAGCCUGGGUCCUCUGGGAGCAGAGGUGUCUCUCAGCAUUGCUCCAUCCUACUUCCAGACUUUAGCCCGAGAGAGAAAUAAACAUCGCCCUGAAGCCACUGUGGUUGGUGCACCUCAUCUUAUGUGACACACGAGGGAAGCUCAGGCAGUUGGCAACUCAUGGCUGGAGAAGAUUCUGGUGCUUUAGUGGAGCAGCAGUGAGGGAUCAGAGAUGCAGGGCAGAGGACGAGGCAUGGGGGUUGAGUUCAGCCCCUGGGGUGGUGGGAGAAAAGCAGAAACUCCCAGUCUUUGUAUACCCUGUCUUGAGUUGGGUGAGACCGUUGGCCAGGAAAGACAGCUGGUGGAUUCUGAGGACAGGAGUCUUCACCAUGAGGCUGUAAAGUGGCCUGUGCCUUAGAAGUUGCAAACUUUUCUUUUCCAAAUUACCAACAGGUGCAAACCUGAGCUUGCAAUGCACGCAUUUUGUAACUGUUCUUUUGACCGUGGCAUCAAACUGCCUUCAGCAGCUUCACCUGGCGCCGCCGCCUCCUCCUCCUCCAUCGGCCAGCGCCCUGGAGUGCCUGGAUGGGCAGCCUCCUUGGCCCGGCCACCCUGCUCCGCGCUGAGGGCUUGGCUGCAGCUCUGAAGCCCCACUCAUCAUGACUGGGAUUGCUCUCUGAGUUUGGGGUUUCCCACGGUACAAUGGGGCACACUGACAGCAAGCUCUGCAAGGUGGCAGAGCUGGAUUCCAUGCUUACCAUACACGCAGGGCAAAGGGAGACUUAACGUUACACUGGAAAACCUCUCGCAUCACCUACACUGAAUGCCUACAUCAUUAAAUAAACCUACGUU